This 75-nucleotide small RNA is filed under the name Pseudomonas cavernae. RNAcentral's name for it is "Xanthomonas sRNA sX9". It matches the Rfam family "Xanthomonas sRNA sX9". Lineage: Bacteria; Pseudomonadati; Pseudomonadota; Gammaproteobacteria; Pseudomonadales; Pseudomonadaceae. The record is from Rfam by way of RNAcentral.
AUGUACUGAAGUACAUUGCGGUUCCUGUGCUCCGGCCGCCCCAAGCUGACAGGCGCUCGCGACGCUUUGAGAACC